GAUGAACGCUGGCGGCGUGCUUAACACAUGCAAGUCGAACGAUGAAGCUCAGCUUGCUGGGUGGAUUAGUGGCGAACGGGUGAGUAACACGUGAGUAACCUGCCCUUAACUCUGGGAUAAGCCUGGGAAACUAGGUCUAAUACCGGAUAGGAGCGCCUACCGCAUGGUGGGUGUUGGAAAGAUUUAUCGGUUUUGGAUGGACUCGCGGCCUAUCAGCUUGUUGGUGAGGUAAUGGCUCACCAAGGCGACGACGGGUAGCCGGCCUGAGAGGGUGACCGGCCACACUGGGACUGAGACACGGCCCAGACUCCUACGGGAGGCAGCAGUGGGGAAUAUUGCACAAUGGGCGAAAGCCUGAUGCAGCGACGCCGCGUGAGGGAUGACGGCCUUCGGGUUGUAAACCUCUUUCAGUAGGGAAGAAGCGAAAGUGACGGUACCUGCAGAAGAAACACCGGCUAACUACGUGCCAGCAGCCGCGGUAAUACGUAAGGUGCGAGCGUAUCCCGGAAUAUUGGGCGUAAGAGCUCCUAGGCGGUUUGUCGCGUCUGUCGUGAAAGUCCGGGGCUUAACCCCGGAUCUGCGGUGGGUACGGGCAGACUAGAGUGCAGUAGGGGAGACUGGAAUUCCUGGUGUAGCGGUGGAAUGCGCAGAUAUCAGGAGGAACACCGAUGGCGAAGGCAGGUCUCUGGGCUGUAACUGACGCUGAGGAGCGAAAGCAUGGGGAGCGAGCAGGAUUAGAUACCCUGGUAGUCCAUGCCGUAAACGUUGGGCACUAGGUGUGGGGACCAUUCCACGGUUUCCGCGCCGCAGCUAACGCAUUAAGUGCCCCGCCUGGGGAGUACGGCCGCAAGGCUAAAACUCAAAGGAAUUGACGGGGGCCCGCACAAGCGGCGGAGCAUGCGGAUUAAUUCGAUGCAACGCGAAGAACCUUACCAAGGCUUGACAUGUUCUCGAUCGCCGUAGAGAUACGGUUUCCCCUUUGGGGCGGGUUCACAGGUGGUGCAUGGUUGUCGUCAGCUCGUGUCGUGAGAUGUUGGGUUAAGUCCCGCAACGAGCGCAACCCUCGUUCCAUGUUGCCAGCACGUAAUGGUGGGGACUCAUGGGAGACUGCCGGGGUCAACUCGGAGGAAGGUGAGGACGACGUCAAAUCAUCAUGCCCCUUAUGUCUUGGGCUUCACGCAUGCUACAAUGGCCGGUACAAUGGGUUGCGAUACUGUGAGGUGGAGCUAAUCCCAAAAAGCCGGUCUCAGUUCGGAUUGGGGUCUGCAACUCGACCCCAUGAAGUCGGAGUCGCUAGUAAUCGCAGAUCAGCAACGCUGCGGUGAAUACGUUCCCGGGCCU
Molecule: ribosomal RNA, 1341 nt
Filed under: uncultured bacterium
Lineage: Bacteria
Description: bacterial SSU rRNA
Rfam family: Bacterial small subunit ribosomal RNA
Source: RNAcentral